UGCGUAGGUGGCAAGGUAAGUCGGAUGUGAAAUCUCCGAGCUCAACUCGGAAAUGGCAUUGGAAACUGCUUUGCUCGAGGGUUGGAGGGGGGACUGGAAUACUUGGUGUAGCAGUGAAAUGCGUAGAUAUCAAGUGGAACACCAGUGGCGAAGGCGAGUCCCUGGACAACUCCUGACACUGAGGCACGAAAGCUAGGGGAGCAAACAGGAUUAGAUACCCUGGUAGUCCUAGCCGUAAACGGUGCACGUUUGCUGUAAAAGGAAUCGACCCCUUUUGUGGCGUAGCCAACGCGUUAAACGUGCCGCCUGGGAAGUACGGUCGCAAGAUUAAA
RNAcentral lists this ribosomal RNA (332 nucleotides) under uncultured bacterium. RNAcentral's name for it is "bacterial SSU rRNA". It matches the Rfam family "Bacterial small subunit ribosomal RNA", at positions 568 to 898 of the family's 1533-position model. The record is from RNAcentral.